UCUGGAAAUUUUUAUCAAUUCUGGAAUAUUUUUACCAAUUUGUAUUAUAAAAUUAACAAUUGUUUAUAUAGUAGAAUUUUAGAACAUACGUAAAUAUAAAUCUCACAUAUAGUUUCUCUUUGUUAUUUUGAAGAUUAUACUUUUUAAAAUUAUACGAUAUAAUUAGAAUACGAAGAAUUAUAAUAAUGCAGAAAUAUUUAAAUUCAUAAUAAUUUUGGUGUUUAAAUAUAUUGAUAAACAUUCGUAAUAAUAAUAAUAAUAAUAAUCCAUUUUAAAUAUAUCUUGUUCUAAAAUAAGAUUUAAUUGUCUAUAUUAAUGUUAUUUAACUAUAUUACGUGAAAUCGACAAUGUGGAAUUUAUAAUGGUCUAAUCUCGUGAUUUGUCUUGUAAAAACAAAUUCUAUGACGCAGUGUUUAAAGAAUCAUGUGGAUAAAGAAAAUUCAUCAAUUCCGAAGCACACGUAACCUUAUUACGGGCACGAUUGCCUUAAUUUUUUUCUGUAGAAGAUAAAAUCGAGAUAAAGGUCGAAAGAUCCGUGGAUUUGUUCAAUUGUCAUUAAUAAAUGCAAAAAUUUGUAAUGUAAUGUCAUCUCGUGUUUCAUUAGAAUCCAUUGCAUGCAUUGAAUCCAUAGAAUCCAUAGAAUGCAUUGUAUUUUCUUGUAAAAGUGGUGAAGAAAGUUUUGACUCUAGUGUUCUUAAAUAUCGUGAAAAAAUUCAUCCAAUAUGCCUGUCUGACACUGCACACUGUCAGAAUACACAGGCAGCCUUAAAAUGUUAUGCAGAAGCAUGACUUUACAGCUAUUCUAUUCUAUCAUUUUUAAAUGUAAGUAAUGAAACGGAACAAGAAAUUUGAUUGGAUUAGAUAUAGGAAUACUUUUGGUCCUUCGGUAAAACAUAUAUCUGAAAAUAUAAUGGCAAUAAAAUACUAAGCUUGGAUUAAAUGUCCAUCAGGUUAAAAUAUUCAUUUUCUUUUUUCAUUAGAAAAUUAAAACAAACAGAAUCAAA
Molecule: long non-coding RNA, 1004 nt
Organism: Apis cerana (Asiatic honeybee)
Lineage: Eukaryota; Metazoa; Arthropoda; Insecta; Hymenoptera; Apidae
Source: RefSeq, a predicted model, not a curated record